GACGAACGCUGGCGGCGUGCUUAACACAUGCAAGUCGAACGGAAAGGCCCUGCUUGCAGGGUACUCGAGUGGCGAACGGGUGAGUAACACGUGGGUGAUCUGCCCUGCACUUCGGGAUAAGCCUGGGAAACUGGGUCUAAUACCGGAUAGGAGCCAUUUUUAGUGUGAUGGUUGGAAAGUUUUUUCGGUGUAGGAUGAGCUCGCGGCCUAUCAGCUUGUUGGUGGGGUAAUGGCCUACCAAGGCGGCGACGGGUAGCCGGCCGGAGAGGGUGGACGGCCACAUUGGGAAUGGGGUACGGCCCAGACUCCUACGGGAGGCAGGAGGGGGGAAUAUUGCACAAUGGGCGGAAGCCUGAUGCAGCGACGCCGCGUGGGGGAGGACGGCCUUCGGGUUGUAAACUCCUUUCGCUAGGGACGAAGCUUUUUGUGACGGUACCUAGAUAAGAAGCACCGGCUAACUACGUG
Molecule: ribosomal RNA, 465 nt
Filed under: uncultured bacterium
Lineage: Bacteria
Description: partial 16S ribosomal RNA
Rfam family: Bacterial small subunit ribosomal RNA
Source: RNAcentral